RNAcentral lists this ribosomal RNA (154 nucleotides) under uncultured bacterium. Its description in RNAcentral is "partial 16S ribosomal RNA". It matches the Rfam family "Bacterial small subunit ribosomal RNA", at positions 764 to 921 of the family's 1533-position model. The record is from RNAcentral.
AUGAAUUGACGGAUUAGAUACCCUGGUAGUCCACGCCGUAAACGAUGAUUACUGGUUGUUUGCGAUACAUUGUAAGCGACUGAGCGAAAGCGUUAAGUAAUCCACCUGGGGAGUACGUUCGCAAGAAUGAAACUCAAAUGAAUUGACGGACGGA